Molecule: ribosomal RNA, 473 nt
Filed under: uncultured bacterium
Lineage: Bacteria
Description: bacterial SSU rRNA
Rfam family: Bacterial small subunit ribosomal RNA
Source: RNAcentral
ACUCCUACGGGAGGCAGCAGUAGGGAAUCUUCCACAAUGGGCGCAAGCCUGAUGGAGCAACACCGCGUGAGCGAAGAAGGGUUUCGGCUCGUAAAGCUCUGUUGUUAAAGAAGAACACGUAUGAGAGUAACUGUUCAUACGUUGACGGUAUUUAACCAGAAAGUCACGGCUAACUACGUGCCAGCAGCCGCGGUAAUACGUAGGUGGCAAGCGUUAUCCGGAUUUAUUGGGCGUAAAGAGAGUGCAGGCGGUUUUCUAAGUCUGAUGUGAAAGCCUUCGGCUUAACCGGAGAAGUGCAUCGGAAACUGGAUAACUUGAGUGCAGAAGAGGGUAGUGGAACUCCAUGUGUAGCGGUGGAAUGCGUAGAUAUAUGGAAGAACACCAGUGGCGAAGGCGGCUACCUGGUCUGCAACUGACGCUGAGACUCGAAAGCAUGGGUAGCGAACAGGAUUAGAUACCCUGGUAGGAAACCG